Molecule: long non-coding RNA, 324 nt
Filed under: Homo sapiens (human)
Lineage: Eukaryota; Metazoa; Chordata; Mammalia; Primates; Hominidae
Description: HSALNT0292314
Source: RNAcentral
GGAGGAUGGGUAUGAGCAAGACUGAGAGAGGUUCAUCAGUGCUGGAUUUUCUAACAGCAGUGAACUAAACCCAUGCUUAGGACAUUGGCAAAGGAGGAAUGGCUAAUAAGCAUCCAUGUCCUCCAGGAUAUAAAGGAAGAAGUUGAGGGAUGGAUGCAGAGUAUACUAUUCUCCACCAUUACAAAUUGGGCACCUUUGCUUUUGAAUGAGUGACCACAGCCCUGGAAACUUGUAUGCUUUGCUAAUUGAGGGCAGAUGAGCCUCAGGUCAAUCCCCCAUCAAUUAUCCACUCAACAACAAUAAAAUGCUAACUUGUAUGCCCUA